Erinaceus europaeus (western European hedgehog) is the source of this 143-nucleotide small nucleolar RNA. NCBI's taxonomy places the organism in Eukaryota, Metazoa, Chordata, Mammalia, Eulipotyphla, Erinaceidae. The record is from Ensembl.
UCCCGAAGUGCUGAGGCCGUUCAGGGUGGCUUCCUAGUUCCCUGUUCCCUGUCCUGUAAUUAAGCUUUGGGACAUUGAAGUACAGGUUAGGGAGGAUGACUGGGUAGUAGAAAACACUGCCAGGUACUUCUUGGCCCACAGCA